Molecule: ribosomal RNA, 510 nt
Filed under: uncultured bacterium
Lineage: Bacteria
Description: partial 16S ribosomal RNA
Rfam family: Bacterial small subunit ribosomal RNA
Source: RNAcentral
GACGAACGCUGGCGGCGUGCUUAACACAUGCAAGUCGAACGAAGAGCGAUGGAAGCUUGCUUCUAUCAAUCUUAGUGGCGAACGGGUGAGUAACGCGUAAUCAACCUGCCCUUCAGAGGGGGACAACAGUUGGAAACGACUGCUAAUACCGCAUACGGUCUAAUCUCGGCAUCGAGGAUAGAUGAAAGGUGGCCUCUACAUGUAAGCUAUCACUGAAGGAGGGGAUUGCGUCUGAUUAGCUAGUUGGAGGGGUAACGGCCCACCAAGGCGAUGAUCAGUAGCCGGUCUGAGAGGAUGAACGGCCACAUUGGGACUGAGACACGGCCCAGACUCCUACGGGAGGCAGCAGUGGGGAAUCUUCCGCAAUGGACGAAAGUCUGACGGAGCAACGCCGCGUGAGUGAUGACGGCCUUCGGGUUGUAAAGCUCUGUUAAUCGGGACGAAAGGCCUUCUUGCGAAUAGUGAGAAGGAUUGACGGUACCGGAAUAGAAAGCCACGGCUAACUACGUG